AGAUGGGACAUUAAUACGUUGAUAAGGAAAUUAUUAUGAGAAAAAAUUGUCCUGAUAACCCCUACGCACAUGUCAUCCACUCUUUGCCCAUUCAAGCACUGUCCAAUCCCCUGGAGCCCAGCCCUAGCAGGCUGCACACUGUCCAAUCUCCUGGGCCCCAUCCUUCCUGGAUCACAAACUAGCUGAUCACAGAGGGAAACAUUCAUUACACAUAUUUUCCAACAACACCCUGUACCCUCCUGUCCCAGAGCCCAUACGCUGGUCUCCUCACAUCAUAUAGAAGGAAUCAUAGACCCGGUUCCUGAUCUCUAUGGCCCCUAUAGUAUGCAAGCAAUUCAAAUACAUUACAUUUCAUACUUGAAGCUAUUUUUAAAAUGUAACCUAUUUCAAUGAUUCCCCACCCCCAGCCCGUCAUGCAUUGGAGUACAAAUGUAAAAAAACUGAGGCAGUGGUAAGUUAAUUUGUAUCAUUCACCCACACCACCUUCAGAAAGCUUGUAUGGAAUCUUUCCUCCUCAACUUGUUUUCCUAUCUCUUCCUGCCAGGUCUGCACAUGCAGGCACCUCCCUGUCUCCACCCAGAUACGGUACUAGUAUUAAUCUGCCUAUGUAACCCCACAAUUUGUAUCUUGUAGCCUGCUGUGUUUAGUUUCUGUUCCCUCUUGUUUUGUGGGCCUUGUGGCUUGUUAUUUUACAGUCUAGUAUUAAGGUUAUCACUCAUCGCUAAUCGUCUCUGCUGCCCUUUGGGUAAAACUUCUUCUAUAUUUCAUCACACUUGCCACAAUAUUGGAUUUUUUUACUUCGCAAAAAAAUCAUUGUUUUAAAUGAGAUCAGGUUUUUUAUCUUCUCUGUAAAAAUGCAUUUUUGCAAGCCAGAUGCUCCUCAGUUGUCAGGAGCAACAAUUAUAUUUUUAAAACAUUCGUAACACACCCUUGUCCUUCCUUGCUGAUAUCUCCAGAUCCUCUCUCGUCUCGGUGACAUCAUCCAUGAUGGAGAUCAUUUGGGGUUCUGGUCACCUAACUAUAGGAAGGAUAUCAGUAAGAUUGAAAGUACAGAGGAGAUUUACUGGGAUGUUGCUGGGCCUUCAGGAGUUGAGUUACAGAGAAAGGUUAAAUAGGUUAGGACUUUACUCCUGGAACGUAGAAGAAUGAGGGGAGAUUUGAUAGAGGUUUACAAAAUAAUGAGGGGUAUAGAAAGAGUAAAUGUGAGUAGGCUCUUUCCACUUAGAUUAGGAGAGAUAAAUACGAGAGGACAUGGCUUUAGGGUGAAAGGUGAAAGAGUUAGAGGGAACUUCUUCACUCAGAGAGUGGUGGGAGUGUGGAACGAGCUGCUAUCUGACGUGGUAAAUGCGGACUCACUCUUAAGUUUUAAGAACAAAUUUGAUAGAUACAUCGAUGGGAGAGGUCUGGAGGGUUAUGGACUGGGUGUGGGUCAAUGGGACUACCGCAGACAACCCCAAUACGCGGACCGCGGGCCAGGUCUGGACCGCGAGAACCAAAUGUCUGGACUGCGCCAACCCAUUGGCACUUACAUGAACGCACCUGUCAUAACAUGUAAAUAAAGUGCGCGCUGCUUAAUUUAUUUUAACCUCAUCCCACUCUGUACACUCGACCCACGCCCCCACAGAAGCACGCAACCUACAGCGCACUUUCUACGGUCCUCAACUAGACAGCAGCACGCACCAGCUACCCAGCUGUCAUCUAAGAAGUGAAUCUGUCAUCUAAAAGUGAAACUGUCAUUAAGUGAAUUGUUACCAGCAGUAAGACAUGGGCCCUAAGCCAAUAACAACAUGGCCUGUGCAAAAAAGCGCAAAGUCGACGAGGAAAACAGUCAGUUCAAAUCUGACUGGACUGAUCAGUUUUGUUUUAUUUUACCGGACCAUAUCAAUGCUAAACCUACAUGCUUAAUAUGCAUACAGUCCGUGGCUGUCUGCAAAUCGGAAAAUCUAAAGCGGCACUUCAACACUACGCAUGCUGCCAGUUUUAAUGCCAAAUACCCUGCAAAAUCAGAUCAACGCAAGUAUGAUAUCAUAAAGCACUCCGUUUCUACUAUCUAUAAAGAGAUUCAAAGAUAUUCAAAAAACUUUAUUGUCAUUCUAACCAUAAAUCAGCUCUGCAGGGCAGAAUGCGACAGCGUUUCUCAGGGGCAGUGCAAUCAUAACAUAACAAACGCAACACUAAAUAAUAAACAUUACAAUAACUAGUAAAACACAACAGCCACAUGUCAGGUAAAAUCAGUUAUAAGUGUCCAGUGCAAGUUAAAAGUGUCCAAAGCAGAGUCAGGCAGAGCAGCUGUUUAGCAAUCUGACUGCCUGUGGGAGGAAGCUGUUUAGUAGCCUUGUGGUUUUAGUUUUAAUGCUCCUGUAACGUUUGCCUGAUGGCAGAAGAACAAGCAGUUCAUGGAGAGGGUGUGAGGGAUCUUUAAUGAUGUACCGUGUCUUCUGGAGGCAUCGACUCUGAAAGAGGUCUUGGACAGAAGGUAGGGAGACCCCAAUAACCUUCCCUGCUCCCCUAACCACCCUCUGCAAGAUUUGUUUGUCGACAGCACGGCAGCUGGAGUACCAGGUUGUGAUGCUAAAGGUCAGCACACUCUCAACCACACCUCUGUAGAAUGUAGUUAAGAUGUUAGUGGGGAGAGAUGCUUGUUUAAGCUUCCUCAGAAAGUGCAAUCUCUGCUGGGCCCAUUUCACAAUCCCAGUGGUGUUCCUGGACCAGGUGAGAUUGUCCGAGAUCUGCACCCCAAGGAACUUGAUGUUUUCCACUCUCUCCACUGUGGAGCCACUGAUGCUGAGGGGUGUACGCUCAGGCUGAGACCGUCUGAAAUCGACAAUCAUCUCCUUGGUCUUGGUGACAUUAAGCAUCAAGUUAUUAUCCCUGCACCAGCUCUCUAGGUGUUUGACCUCCUCCCUGUACAUAGUUUCAUCAUUUUUGCUGAUGAGCCCCACCACUGUGGUAUCAUCAGCAAAUUUAAUGAUCAGGUUCUCCUUGAAUCUGGCUGCACAGUCAUGUGUUAGCAGUGUAAACAGCAAUGGGCUAAGCACACAGCCUUGUGGGGAUCCAGUGCUCAGUGUGAUGGAGUCAGAGAUGUUCCUGCCAACACGGACUGACUGUGGUCUCUCUGUCAAGAAAUCCAGAAUCCAGCGACACAUGGCAGUGCUAAGGCCAAGCAGCGACAGUUUCUCCACUAGUCUCUGCGGGAUGAUGGUAUUGAAUCCUGAACUGAAAUCAAUGUACAGGAUUCUGGCAUAAGUGUCUUUGUUGUCCAAGUGAGAGAGAACUGUGUGCAGUGUGGUGGAUAUUGCGUCAUCCGUAGAGCGAUUUGGACGAUAAGCAAACUGUAGAGGAUCCAGUAAUAAAUCAACAUCUGCACAAGAGAGCACAACAGCUGCAUCAUUGCAUAUGUCAUGGAAUCUUGCCAAAGCUAAGAAGCCAUUCGCUGAUGCCGAGUUGAUUAAAACGUGUGCAAUUGAUACGGUUGGUGAAGUUUUAGGUCAUGUUGAGAAAACCAAGAAAACUGUUGUGGAGCUAUUAAAGACAGUGCCAUUGUCGGCUAACAUGGCAACAAGUAGUGUAGAAGUUUUAGCGGAGGAGCAUUUCCAAUCUACUCACCGAUUUGCAGAAAGCAGAAGCCAUAUCACUAGUCAUAGACUCGUCCUGUGACUGAACUGAUAUGGAAGAGCCAUCUGUGUUUGCAAGAUUUUUUGAUGGGAAGACCUUUCGGGAAAGCUACUUGCUUUGCUUCCUCUGCCUGGGCGUAUGACUGGGGAAAGCAUUUUUAACGAAUUGACACAAUUGGAUGUGAGCAAAAUUAUGUCCGUUGUCACCGACAGGGCUUCGUUGACGGUGGGACAACACAUGGGCUUGGUAAGCAGGUUUGCCGCUGUUAACCCAGCACUCUUGGCAUUUCAUUGAAUUAUUCACAAAUCAGUGUUGUGCGCUAAACUGUAUGGGGAAAUGAUGGAUACUGUGACGAGACUGGUAAAUUUUGUUCGUGAGAGUUGUCUGCAACAUCGCCUUUUCAGAGCAUUGCUGGAGGAAAUGUCAGUGGAACACAAAGGUCUUUGGCUGCAUAAUGAUGUUCACUGGCUAAGCAAAGGCCGUGUGUUGGAGAGAGUGUGCGACCUGCGUGAUGAGCUUGUGUCAUUUUUAUCCAGCCUGUAGAGCCAAAAAGCCCGAGGAUUUCAGAGGUUUUUAAGUGACAAGGUGAUGGCACAUGUUCUUUUUCGUGUGAUGUCAUGUCUCACCUAAAUCAACUUAAUCUGCAAUUACAAGGCAACAACCACUCUGUUGCGGACAUGUACGAGGCGAUUGAAGCUUUCUGGUCAAAGCUGAACCUUUUAGAGAGAGACAUUCACGGGAGAAAGUUGCACUUUCCACGUCUGCGGGAGCCUUGUGAGAAGAACAAAAUGUGGGAGGAUCCAGUGAUGAAGGAUUUUGUGAUGAGCCUGGCAGAAAACGUCAGGGAACGAUUUGAAAGCUCCCCUAAACUCUCAAGUGGCAUCCUUCUCUUCUUGAGACAACCGUUCUCUGUUUCGGCUGACGGCCAGUGAACUGCAGAGGCCAAAAGGCUGGUGCCUUCCAUAGAUGAGGCAACUCUUCAGAUGGAGGUCUUGGAAAUAGGAACAUCUGAUUUGCUCAAAGCACAACACAAGGACGUUGGGGUGAGUGACUUUUGGAUCAACUUGGUUCCCCAAGCUCAAUUCAAAAACACAAGAGCUAUUGCAAUGCUCCUACUCACACUGUUCCCCUCCACGUACAUAUGUGAGUCAUCGUUUUCUUCAAAGAACUCUAUCAAGAACCAGGACAGAAACAGACUCUCCAAUGCACAUCUCGGCCAGUGCCUCAGGAUUCCCACAACAGAAUACAGGCCCGACAUCAGAAGGAUUACCUCAUCUCGUCACUGUCACUUCUCUCACUGAUUGUGCCUUGAUAGUGUGAGCAGACAGUGAUGGAGAGGAACGUGAUGGAUGACUUCUCUCAGUAUAUUACCUCAUGUGUACCCUCCUGAUUCUGAUCCCAGCAAGUCAGCAUUAUGGUUGCAGAGAUACUGAUCGUACAUGUUCAAACUCUACCUGGGCUGAAAUUGGCAACAAGGACGUGAUGAAGCAAAUCUGCUCCUGAUUAUUGCGUUCAAGGACUGUCGUUCAGCAGGCCCAUGAACUUGCUCUUCUGAGACAAGUUGUUCAAGGUACUGCAGUGGGGGCCCUCAACUCACAGGUAGGAGGGUCUAUCCCCCACGGCUAGAAGUUUCUUCUAGAACAACACUGGGCUGUGCUAGAGACCCCAGCCUUGGAAUCACACGUUCGUCACCUUUUUUUAUUAUUCG
Mobula hypostoma (lesser devil ray) is the source of this 5323-nucleotide long non-coding RNA. RefSeq lists it as uncharacterized. The record is from RefSeq and is a predicted model, not a curated record. The transcript is spliced from 4 exons. NCBI's taxonomy places the organism in Eukaryota, Metazoa, Chordata, Chondrichthyes, Myliobatiformes, Myliobatidae.